GUUAUUACAGGGACAUGGUACUGAUAAUCAGCCAAAAGAAGAGCACACGCGGAGACUGGGAGGGUUCCACGUGGAAGCUUCCAUUGUCCUUAGAAUGUGUUUCCCUUCUAAGUAAUGAUGUGUGACAACACACAUGAUAUAUUGCCAACAGGAGAAGCUCAUGUGAGCUUCAACGUCUAGUUUUUAUUGGGGCUUUAUUAUAUAUGCAUGAUUGAUUGAUUGAUUUACCAGAUUGUCCAAAAGGUCCACCAUGAAUAAUAGAUACUCCUGACACUUGGGAAUUUCCAAGGUUUCAGAGGUUACCUCCCAGGAGCCGGGUAUAAAGGUCAGACCUCUCUUUAGUUCCUUAAACAGAAUUCCUGAGAGCACAUGAUGUUCCAGUCGUUGUGCAGGGAUAAGAAUAUAGCAGUGAAGGAAUAUAAAGAUUGUGAGACAUGCAUUAGACUGAAAAUCAGCAAACAUGAGGACUGGUCCUAACACUGACUCAUCCAGGUUGGAUAUCAUGUCUUUGGAGAAGUCUUCUCUGCACCCCUCUCCCAAUAAAGCUAAACAUUCUUCCACCAUGUGCUGUCCUCUAAUUUGUUCUCAUAUUUUCCUCUGGUGUAGUUGUGUGUUCACAUACCUAUCUGUUGUAUCAGACAGUGAGUUUCCUGAUGGGAGGCACUUAGUCUUUUUCCUCUUGGUUAUUUUAA
Long non-coding RNA from Orcinus orca (killer whale), 692 nucleotides. RefSeq lists it as uncharacterized. Lineage: Eukaryota; Metazoa; Chordata; Mammalia; Artiodactyla; Delphinidae. The transcript has 3 exons. The record is from RefSeq and is a predicted model, not a curated record.